Molecule: long non-coding RNA, 4258 nt
Organism: Anopheles gambiae (African malaria mosquito)
Lineage: Eukaryota; Metazoa; Arthropoda; Insecta; Diptera; Culicidae
Exons: 3
Source: RefSeq, a predicted model, not a curated record
CAGGAGAAAGAAAUGUGAGACGGCGCAAGCGCAAAGGAAGCGCGUGCGAGCGAGCGCACUAGUGUGUGGUGGAGUGUGACGGAGGGAGUGAGAUAGCGAAAUGCGGGAAGAUCGCUAUGGGUACUUUUACAUUGUACGCGUGUAGUGCAGAUAAUAUUGUGAGUUAUUAGAAAUCUGCUUCGAUUAUCUGGCAUGGUAAUUGGAGAUUAGGUUUUGUGCGAUCAACUGAAAAGUAGGGUUAGAAAUCUACCGGGGGAGUACAGGAAGGAACACUGAAUAAGUGAUAAGCUGUCCGGGCGUUUCGAGUUUCGGCAUGAGAAAACUUGAAAUCAAAACUACACGACGAUGACGAUUCUGAAAUUAUUCAUUAGACUUAUCAUAGAGUUUGACAAACGUUGAAGCAACUGAUGCGUUGGGCUGUCCAGCAAGAGAUAAUUGGUUUGCCUUGAGUGAUAUAUUGCCGGACUGUUUCAGAACCUCUUGGAUCGCUCCACCGUGUAUCUCAAGCAUAUUCCAAGUUCCCUGGGACGUCGGUCACAACAAGCCUACGUCACGGAGGAUUCUGCACAACCGUCGCUAAACGCCGCGUAGUUCACGGAGUCAACACAUUGCCACAAUCUCCACCUCUCCCAUACUGGCCACCAUGAAAAACGAAGAAGAGAUAAACGUUGUCUGUAGCAUUACCACCGGGUGUCGAGUGAUGGCUGAGAUUCUGUCGAUCUCUGGCGGCAGCUUCUUCCCUCGCAGUGCCCCCGGCGGGUUCUGUACGACGAUAUAGCUGUCAAUCAUUCUAUAAUUAAGCGAUUUCACGCCAUCUCUUCUCUGUCGAUGCCCCACGGACACACACACGCACACGCACCACGCAACGAGCCCUGGUUAGACACUUUGUGGACACAAAUGUCUGACGAUCAUGAUCGUGUCGUUCGUGGCUUGCAGCUACUGGGGAGCCGGGGAAGUGUUUUGGGAACCCGCAUUAGAAUCGGGUUACGAAUCGACUCCAUUGGUGUGAUAGCUAUUGCACGUUAGCGACAGAAAGAUGCGACAGUAUAAGAUCAAUGCCGAUCGUUUCUUGAUAUACAGGACGAUCACAGCAGAAGUGUCACAUGGAGGCUACAACAAAUAGCUCGUGCGCGCACUGUUGUGGCAAAAGUCCCUGCGGGAUCUCCCUAGGUCCCCCUUCCCCAGCAAAAAAGUCAGAUAAAGAUACACUUUUUCUCUUGCGGAUGUUCCCCGCAUAGCAGAGGAGCCGGCAGCAGUAGGACGGUUCGAAAUAGCAGAGCAUAAUCACACACACACAACGAUCUCGGUCGGUCGGUCGGUGAAGGUAGACCAACUCGCACUCUGCGCGGCACUCUCGGGUCUCUCGGUUCCAAAAAUAGUAUUUAUUUGGUAUUCCAUUCCUUUUCGGAUGGUCCCGCCAACGGCCGUAUUUUUAAACUGUCACAUCUUGCCGACCGAAUGACGACUGGGGGACACACAGCGAUCGCGGCGCGGCACGGGCAGCCCCUUUUCCACAGGAACGUUUCAAUUUGUCACCUCCCCCUACCUUCCCCUCCCCCAAUCAGCAAAACAGGAUGCCUUCCGUGUGUCGCGCUCGAACGUGUCGAUUAGAUCUUGCAUGUCAUUGCUUGGAGGUUGCGGCCCACCAGACCCAGCCCACCAGAAAGCGGGCCCUUACUAUCGCACGGCGGCACGGGCGAAGUGUUGUCGUCGUCUUGCCCGAUACAUCGCCCGUGAUGAGAUCUUAAUCGAUCGAAUGAUAGAUGAGUGAGGAAGUGGGCGAAAUUGAAGCAUUUACGGACGAAGCACCAUCUCCAGCGCGGGAUGCUUUCUUUUUUCAACAACCCAACUAAUGAAGGUCUGUAGGAGCCACGUCCGAUAGCAUGGGCAAAGCCCCCUUGGAAACCCCUAUUCUUGGGUGGAAGGUUACGUAAUUUCGGAAACGGUGAUGCAAUGCGACUCGCUCCAAAAGUAAGGCACAUCAGAAGCACCAGAACGGUUCCGUCUCCGAUGAGUUGCGGUUGCCGCCCAUCGGCACAUCCAGCCCCGGCCUAUAUGGGCGCGUUCCUGAAUUGUGCUGCUGAUGUGGCCCCGGGAGACCGACCGAGAUGAUACAGAACCAUGGCGGGAUGUCGUGAUUCGAUUGGGAGAGAGCGCUGUUUGGAUGCGGCGACCGUUGCUGGCAGCACAAUCGAUGGUGGUGGAGGCACACUUUACCACACAGUCCGAGGGAUUGUGUGUCUGAUAAUGGGUCGCUAGCUUAAGCUAGGGCAGAUGUGGUAAUACCGUCUGUGUGAGUGCCUUCUAUCUGACCCUACAGCCUGUUGACAGCUAGAGCAGCAUCAUCAUCAUCAUUGCGAAAAAUUAUCGCCCUUGUGGUGGGCCAAUAUUGCAAAUGAUGAUGAUGAUGUUAUGCUUUAGUCAGCUCAGUCAGUGUUUAUAGGCUCAUCAGUUCCAAAGGCAUGCAAACAAGGGAAGGUUUUGUAUACAGAUAGAGCGAUCGAGUCCAGUCCAGCUCAGUAGAGCGCAUUAUUGAUAAGCGCAUCUCGUAACAGCGACCCCAACGCUGAUGACCUACUGCUAUGGCACGUUGUUCUUCGACUUGGUGAUGCAUUAAUGUGCGAGCGAAUGAUUUAUGAGACGUUGUUGAGCGUAUGAUGUGUGUGCUUUGCUUUUUAAAAAUUAGCCACAUCCUUUAUCAUCUCCUGAAUGGCUGAAAACAGGAAUUUUUGCAAGUGAUUAUUUGCACCAUUUCUACAUCAAAAUCUGCCUGCCCUCCCUCCGCUCUCGCCAUGCUCAAAUGAGCUCAUUGAACUAACAAUUGCGAUUAAUGAGCUUUACGCAUCGGUGAAGGUGAACAUUCCUCUGCACGUUGUGUUGGUUAGGUUUAGUUUCGCGGCAUUCCUUCCACUGUUGGAAUGCGUGGAACUACCGUGCAUUAUUGGAUGUUUCGAAGCAUGUUGAUUUGAUGUUUGCGUUUUCUAAUCAAUAAUUGCAUCGUCAAACAACAACCAAAAAAAAAAAAAAGGCAGCAGAAACAUGCCGUCAUGUUCCAACACAUCUCAGCUCUUCUGCGUUAAACGCCGACUAACACACAACAGUGUAACAAGUAAAGUCGAUGCCAAUGACAUGGUAUUACUUGAACCGUUUUUAAUCCGAUCCGGAUUACGACGGAGAGGGCACUGUUUAAAGACAUCGAUUCUUAAUGCAAUGAUUAGCGUAUGUGCUGUCUUUCGUUUCGUUGUGUGUGCCUUCUGUCAACCUUCGGUGACUGCUUAAGUCUCCCCCCGGCUCCCCGAUACAUUAUACACCCAUUCUCCCCGUCAACGUCUAGUGAGGCUUAGCUUGCUCGGGCGUGCCUCUACCAGUCGAGCUAUAUUUAGUACGUUUGGCUGCUUAAAUGCUCUUGCAAAUGCUAGCUGAAAGCGAUUGAGAACCCCACUGUGUGUCGUCCGAGGCGUACAUGGGGUGGGCAUGGUGUACGGAAGCUCUUCUGUCUCAUACGUGAGAAGAUUAAUAAGUGUGUUUGGGGAUAUCAAGACGACGGUGUGUACCAGCUGUUACUUUGGUGGACUUUGGUGUCUUCCACCCCAAAUCCUCCUCUCAUUGACCGAUCAUAUCUUUAAUCGUGUACAAGAUGUUUGAGUUGGUGGGCUUGGGACGUGCGGUGGGUGUCUUAAACAUCUGCACCAAUUUGUAGUAAACGGGUGCUUGAGUACUCUAGCACCCCCCGUGGCCCCAAAACAGCCCAUUUGUCACAUUAUUACUAUUACUACUAGCAAAUAAUUAGCGUGGCGCAUUAAAAUGGGCGCCCUCUCGCGCUACUGCUGCAAAGUGUGCGGACACGACCGCAGGAAAAAAGCCUGCAGAUAGCGUCCUCUGUAUCCUCUGUCAUGGGCUGUCAAGCAUUACGGCGAACAGCGCUGUAAAACUGGCCGUGUUUUUGUCCAUCUCCAUGGUGGUGCCUCGUUUUGAAGUGAUUUGUAAAUAAAUUACUGUUAAUUGUACGCUCCCGCACCACACGAUGUUACAGGCCGACGCCGUGAUCCUCCGUUUUGUACCGCGUGUACGGGUCGUGGUGCGCACCAAGGCUGGUGGUGAAGCGCCAUCCCAAAAUGAAUGUUUUUAUUCGUUGUGCUGCAAGCAUGUUAUAUUGAAUGUGUGUGUGUUUGUGUGUAACCUGUUAAAGUUUGCUACCUUGUGUCUUUAAACGUUUAGAAUAGAGGAGUUUAUAAAAAAGAUAGCUUUUUUUUCUGGA